Molecule: long non-coding RNA, 575 nt
Filed under: Bos indicus x Bos taurus (hybrid cattle)
Lineage: Eukaryota; Metazoa; Chordata; Mammalia; Artiodactyla; Bovidae
Description: lncRNA (ENSBIXG00000026599.1)
Source: RNAcentral
UGGAAAGUUGCAAGAAAUUAGAUUUCAGAGGUAGAGAUGUUUCAACAAAAAUACCCAACAGCUUUAAUUUGGUUUCUGAUAACUGGGCUCUGGAUUUGCAGUUGUUAAGUUUUUCUCUGUUUCUGUUUUCUGUUGCAGAAAGAAAGGGUGCCUUUGAGAGAUUUAUUAUUUCCAUGUCUCUGGAUAUAUUAUAUACAUACAAAUAUGUGCAUAGUUAGCAUGGCUGAUAGAAGUCACCUGUUCACCUCUGGUGUGACCCAUGUGAGGAAUUUUUUUGAAGACAAAAAUUCAAAACACCUUUUCACUUUUGUCUCAGCUGGACCAAGAGAAGAAAGACAUCAACACUUAUCAAAAUCUAAGUUAAGAUUGAAAAAGCACAGAGGCACAGAAGAGCGUAUUAAAGUCUUUCUCCAAUGGGAAGCCUUUUGCUCCAAUUUAUGGUCACGGUCCAAGGCCAGGUCUACCCAGGAGCAGCCAGUUCAUAUUGGUGUAAGAGGGAAGAGUCCAUAUGUGCAAACUCCCAAACCCAAACCUUCAAAAGAAGGUGGCAACCAAUUUUUUUUUGGAGGAAUGAG